RNAcentral lists this ribosomal RNA (468 nucleotides) under uncultured bacterium. RNAcentral describes it as "partial 16S ribosomal RNA". It matches the Rfam family "Bacterial small subunit ribosomal RNA", at positions 28 to 507 of the family's 1533-position model. The record is from RNAcentral.
GACGAACGCUGGCGGCGUGCUUAACACAUGCAAGUCGAACGGAAAGGCCCUGCGUUUGUGGGUUGCUCGAGUGGCGAAGGGGGGAGUAACACGUGAGUAACCUGCCCUUGACUGUGGGGUAACUUCAGGAAACUGGGGCUAAUACCGGAGAGGAUCUCCUGCUGCAUGGGGGUGGUUGGAAAGUUUCGGCGGUGGGGGAUGGACUCGCGGCUUAUCCGCUUGUUGGGUGGGUAGGUGAUUACGAAGGUUGUGAAGGGUAGCCUGCCUGGGAGGGUGACCGGCCACCUUGGGCCUGAGAUACGGCCCAGACUCCUACGGGAGGCAGCAGUGGGGAAUAUUGCACAAUGGCGGGAAGCCUGAUGUAGCAACGCCGCGUGCGGGAUGACGGCCUUCGGGUUGUAAACCGAUUUCGCCUGUGCCGAAGCGUGAGUGACGGUAAUGGGUAAAGAAGCACCGGCUAACUACGUG